Molecule: ribosomal RNA, 411 nt
Filed under: uncultured prokaryote
Description: bacterial SSU rRNA
Rfam family: Bacterial small subunit ribosomal RNA
Source: RNAcentral
GUGUCAGCCGCCGCGGUAAUACGGAGGAUGCAAGCGUUAUCCGGAUUUAUUGGGUUUAAAGGGUGCGUAGGCGGAACUAUAAGUCAGUGGUGAAAUCCUGCAGCUUAACUGUAGACUUGCCAUUGAUACUGUAGUUCUUGAGUGUGGUCAAGGGAGGCGGAAUGUGUAAUGUAGCGGUGAAAUGCUUAGAUAUUACACAGAACACCGAUUGCGAAGGCAGCUUUCUGGGCCAUUACUGACGCUGAUGCACGAAAGCGUGGGGAUCGAACAGGAUUAGAUACCCUGGUAGUCCACGCCGUAAACGAUGAUCACUAGCUGUUGGCGAUAUACAGUCAGCGGCAAAGCAAAAGCAUUAAGUGAUCCACCUGGGGAGUACGGCCGCAAGGCUGAAACUUAAAUGAAUUGACGGGG